CACGUAGUUAGCCGGCGCUUCUUCUGCAGGUACCGUCACUCAAGAGCUUCUUCCCUGCUGAAAGAGGUUUACAACCCGAAGGCCUUCAUCCCUCACGCGGCGUCGCUGCAUCAGGCUUGCGCCCAUUGUGCAAUAUUCCCCACUGCUGCCUCCCGUAGGAGUCUGGGCCGUGUCUCAGUCCCAGUGUGGCCGGUCGCCCUCUCAGGCCGGCUACCCGUCGUCGCCUUGGUGAGCCGUUACCUCACCAACAAGCUGAUAGGCCGCGGGCCCAUCCCGCACCGCCGGAGCUUUCCACCCAAGACCAUGCGACCUUGAGUCAUAUCCGGUAUUAGACCCCGUUUCCAGGGCUUAUCCCAGUGUGCGGGGCAGGUUGCCCACGUGUUACUCACCCGUUCGCCACUAACUCCCCUCCCGGAAGGAGGUUCAUCGUUCGACUUGCAUGUGUUAAGCACGCCGCCAGCGUCGUCCUGAGCCAGGAUCAAACUAC
Molecule: ribosomal RNA, 487 nt
Filed under: uncultured Actinomycetales bacterium
Lineage: Bacteria; Bacillati; Actinomycetota; Actinomycetes; Actinomycetales
Description: partial 16S ribosomal RNA
Source: RNAcentral